This 783-nucleotide unclassified non-coding RNA is filed under the name Hevea brasiliensis (rubber tree). The record is from RNAcentral. Lineage: Eukaryota; Viridiplantae; Streptophyta; Magnoliopsida; Malpighiales; Euphorbiaceae.
UCAAAUAAAUCAUUACCAUCCAUACUUGGCUUGCGUUUGAGCUUUGGUAAGAAAACCUUUGGCACGCCGCUCUGACAAUUCCAUCUCUUUCUGCUUCAUAUCAAAGUACAGUGAACCUAUCUGAUGCUUCCGCUUUUGAAGUUUCGAAGGCUUUCCCUUUGUAGAAGCAGGCUGAUAGGAUGGCCCAAAAGCAAUUCCAGUUAACUUGACCUGGUCCUCCCUAGGCCGAUUCUUAGUCAGCUCAUCCUGCUUCACCUCAAUAAUUUCAGUUGGAAUAUCAUUCCUUCCUCUUUUCCCAGGCACACUCAAAGCGCUCUCACUUGGCCCUGUUCUCUCAGGCACUGCUGCUGCUGCUGUCCCAUCACCCCAAUUAUUGCCAUAUUGUUCAUAAUCAUCAUAAUUACCAUAGCUUCCAUAACUCUCGUAAGUCCCAUGCACUGAGCCAUCAUGUCCAGUGACAAUAUUUUGACUGCUGUCUUGACUUAUUCCUGAUUCAUAACUGGCAAAACCCCCAUAAUUUGCAUAAUUCCCUCCAUUUUGAUCAGAACCCAAUUCAUGGCUCCCAGAAACACCACCAUAACUCUCAUAAUUUUCAGCAAUUUGAUCAUUCUCUGUCCCAAAGCUGGCUGAACUUGAGGUGGGUACUUUAUUUUCAAUGAUGGAUCUCCUUCCAGACCCUGCUGCAGAUGGAAGAACACCUAAUGUAGAGGAAUUCUUGGGGGCAGGGAUGCUGGACAAGAAUGACUUCACAGACAAAGAUUGUGACAAAGUUUCAGAUUCCUU